ACGAACCGUGCAAACGUUGUUCGGAAUCACUGGGCUUAAAGGGCGCGUAGGCGGGCAGGCAAGUCGAAGGUGAAAUCCCACGGCUCAACCGUGGAAGUGCCCCCGAUACUGCCUGUCUCGAGGGAGAUAGGGGCGUGCGGAACUUCCGGUGGAGCGGUGAAAUGCGUAGAUAUCGGAAGGAACACCGGUGGCGAAAGCGGCGCGCUGGAUCUCUUCUGACGCUGAUGCGCGAAAGCCAGGGGAGCAAACGGGA
RNAcentral lists this ribosomal RNA (253 nucleotides) under uncultured prokaryote. Its description in RNAcentral is "partial 16S ribosomal RNA". It matches the Rfam family "Bacterial small subunit ribosomal RNA", at positions 525 to 777 of the family's 1533-position model. The record is from RNAcentral.